This 375-nucleotide ribosomal RNA is filed under the name uncultured organism. RNAcentral describes it as "partial 16S ribosomal RNA". It matches the Rfam family "Bacterial small subunit ribosomal RNA", at positions 527 to 896 of the family's 1533-position model. The record is from RNAcentral.
GUAGGUGGCAAGCGUUGUCCGGAAUUAUUGGGCGUAAAGCGCGCGCAGGUGGUUCUUUAAGUCUGAUGUGAAAGCCCCCCGGCUCAACCGGGGAGGGUCAUUGGAAACUGGGGAACUUGAGUGCAGGAGAGGAAAGUGGAAUUCCACGUGUAGCGGUGAAAUGCGCAGAUAUGUGGAGGAACACCAGUGGCGAAGGCGACUUUCUGGCCUGUAACUGACACUGAGGCGCGAAAGCGUGGGGAGCAAACAGGGAUUAGAUACCCUGGUAGUCCACGCCGUAAACGAUGAGUGCUAAGUGUUGGGGGGGUUUCCCGCCCCUCAGUGCUGCAGCUAACGCAUUAAGCACUCCGCCUGGGGAGUACGGUCGCAAGACUG